AAACAUUUUCUUUAGAUAUAUUUUAAAGGUAAUACCUGCUCAAUGAGUAUUAAAUUGCCGCAGUAUUAUGACUGUGCUAAGGUAGCAUAAUAAUUUGUCUUUUAAAUGGGGACUGGAAUGAAAGGUUUUAUGGGGGUAUGCUAAUGAUUUAAUAAAUCUUUGAAGUUAAGGUUUAAGUUAAAAUUCUUAAGUUUAUUUGAGGGACGAGAAGACCCUGUGGAUCUUUAUUUUGUUUAUAGUAAAUUAUUAUAAAUGUUUUAUUAUCUUAAAAAUUUGAUUGGGACGAUUAUUAUUUUAACAUAAUUUUAAGAAUUUAUUUUGAUCCUUUUGAAGGAAUUAAGAUUAAGUUACCCCAGGGAUAACAGCGUUAUAUUAUUGGAUAGUUCAUAUUGAUAAUAAUGUUUGCGACCUCGAUGUUGAAUUAAAAUUUCUUUUUAAAGCAGAAGUUAAAUUAGUAAGUCUGUUCGACUUUUAAAAUUUUACAUGAUCUGA
Molecule: ribosomal RNA, 492 nt
Filed under: Cyprididae sp. LACM RW17.122.3514
Lineage: Eukaryota; Metazoa; Arthropoda; Ostracoda; Podocopida; Cyprididae
Description: partial large subunit ribosomal RNA
Rfam family: Bacterial large subunit ribosomal RNA
Source: RNAcentral